RNAcentral lists this ribosomal RNA (439 nucleotides) under uncultured bacterium. RNAcentral's name for it is "partial 16S ribosomal RNA". It matches the Rfam family "Bacterial small subunit ribosomal RNA", at positions 339 to 795 of the family's 1533-position model. The record is from RNAcentral.
CUACGGGACGCUCCAGUGAGGAAUAUUGCGCAAUGGGGGGAACCCUGAUGCAGCAACGCCGCGUGGAGGAUGACGCAUUUCGGUGUGUAAACUCCUUUUAUAUGUCAAGAAAAUGACGGUAGCAUAUGAAUAAGCACCGGCUAACUCCGUGCCAGCAGCCGCGGUAAUACGGGGGGUGCAAGCGUUACUCGGAAUCACUGGGCGUAAAGGACGCGUAGGCGGGUUGGAAAGUCAGGUGUGAAAUCCUACAGCUUAACUGUAGAGCUGCACUUGAAACUUCUAAUCUAGAGUAUGGGAGGGGGAGAUGGAAUUAGUGGUGUAGGGGUAAAAUCCGUAGAUAUCACUAGGAAUACCUAAAGCGAAGGCGAUCUCCUGGAACAUUACUGACGCUAAGGCGUGAAAGCGUGGGGAGCAAACAGGAUUAGAUACCCCCGUAGUC